Molecule: long non-coding RNA, 322 nt
Organism: Sinocyclocheilus grahami
Lineage: Eukaryota; Metazoa; Chordata; Actinopteri; Cypriniformes; Cyprinidae
Exons: 3
Source: RefSeq, a predicted model, not a curated record
CUGUAAACACGGUAAUCUCUCAAGCUAUUUAAAAAGCAAGCGAGGAGAGUACAGUCCCUUCAAGAAGCGAAUGUCACUGAUGCCGUGCGGGAGGGAGGUACAGCAGGAAGAGGAUUUGCAUGAGGGGGAUCUGGGUCUGGGAAUCAGCACUCGGCUGGACAUCUGCACCGGCACCGCUGUGUGCACCAGGAUGGGAGAACAGACCUCCACGACCCAGCUGCAGGAUGAACAAGAGAGUUCAGACUGGGAUCAUUUGACGAUGGAGGAUCUCAUCAGCUAUAGCUUCCAAGUGGCCAAAGGCAUGGACUUCCUAGCCUCUCGA